This 441-nucleotide ribosomal RNA is filed under the name uncultured Anaerolineaceae bacterium. RNAcentral's name for it is "bacterial SSU rRNA". It matches the Rfam family "Bacterial small subunit ribosomal RNA", at positions 338 to 795 of the family's 1533-position model. Lineage: Bacteria; Bacillati; Chloroflexota; Anaerolineae; Anaerolineales; Anaerolineaceae. The record is from RNAcentral.
CCUACGGGGGGCUGCAGUAGGGAAUAUUGCACAAUGGGCGAAAGCCUGAUGCAGCAACGCCGCGUGAGUGAAGAAGGCCUUCGGGUCGUAAAACUCUUUUCAAGGGAAAGAGGAAGGACGGUACCCUUGGAAUAAGCAUCGGCUAACUACGUGCCAGCAGCCGCGGUAACACGUAGGAUGCGAGCGUUAUUCGGAUUUACUGGGCGUAAAGCGCGUGUAGGCGGUUAGGAGAGUUGGAUGUGAAAGCUCCCGGCUUAACUGGGAGAGGUCGUUCAAAACUUCCUGACUAGAGUUUGGUAGAGGAAAAUGGAAUUCCGGGUGUAGUGGUGAAAUGCGUAGAUAUCCGGAGGAACACCAGUGGCGAAAGCGAUUUUCUGGACCGAUACUGACGCUCAGACGCGAAAGCUAGGGUAGCAAACGGGCUUAGAUACCCCGGUAGUC